UUCAAGUGAUAAGCGAUGAUAUUAGACAGUAGAAGUUCCUAUAACAUUUCUCGACUCUUUCUUUUUGAAAUUUGAACCGCAAUACCUCAAAGUCAUUCCGAUACUGCCGUUCACGCCUCCAAGUGCCUUUUUUAAACUAGUGCUUUUAAAUCGGUUCCUACUACGAUUACGACGUAUACUACGUAAGCAAUUUUUUUUUGUAGUUUUAGGUUUAAAAAUCACAUUCCGAGAACCUAACGUUUACAUAAUUUUCGGUCCAUAUCAUUCGUGAUUAAGUUUAGAGAUAUUAUAUAUUUCGGUUGGGGUGUAAAAUAAACAAAUGUUAAAUCGUGGACGAAUUUUUCUUGCGCCGACCUUUGCGUAUUUCGUUGUUGCAUUUUACUGCUAACCGAUGAUGUUUUAGUUCUGGAAACCGGGAAGAAAGGCCAACGAAAACCAAAACGGGCACUCGAUCGCGUAUUCCGCUGCGACCGGUGCGGCAAGUGCUUCGCCCUGAACCACUCGCUGAAACGACACCGCCUCAUGGAGUGCGGAAAAGAAAAAUCGUUCUUCUGCCGCCUUUGCGACUAUUCCACAUUUCACCGUUUUUCGUUAAAGCGACAUUCGGCAGUGCGGCAUAACACCAACAUCGACUAGCCCCUAAAAUAUAUCGAUUUUCAUCUCCGCCACGCUUUUCAUUUCUUUGCCACGAUUUAGUUGCUUGGUCGGUAACGGGUGAAUGUUUUCAGGACGGCCACGUUCAAAUUGGUGCGAGAAAUGCGGGAAGACCUACACGCACAAUCGCAAUUUGCAACGCCACCAGAAGAUCGAGUGCCAGAAAUCCAAGUCGUUCGUAUGUCCGCUCUGUCCGUAUGCUAGUUACUACAGGUACCACCUGAAAACGCACAUGUACGGGCAGCACGGCAUAUUAUGAUCCAUAUUGAAGAUAUUCCCGCUUCCUUUAUAACCUCAUUUUUUUGUUUUGACCAUUCGGACUGUCUACGCGAAAUAAAAUGUCGUUUAGUUGAAGAGAGAUAAGUUAGAUACUGUCAACUGUUACCAUCCAGUCCUGUUCAUAAUUGUUAUUGUUUUAAAUAAACCAACUUUCAUUUAAGAAUUGCGCUACCGAACUCUAAUUUUACCCCUACGCGGUGAUUCAGGAUUUUCCCGAAGCUGAACAUUCUCGACAAUACAAAUUUUUCCGCAAGGGGCUCAGAAUCGACAUGGCUAUACUACUUUUGCACGUUAAUUCGAUCAUUUCAAGGUGUCAAUAUCGUUCGUAUUUUUUCUGGUGGCUAUCCUCAGAACGAUAAAAGUUAUCUCCGACUAAUAAAAUAAUUCGUCUAUUAAUUGAUUGUGUUACUUUUUCGAUUCCGCUGAAUGCCAGUCGCGGGAUAUCCUGAGAUAUCAAAAUUACAUAUUUCCAACUAAAUCAACGUCUAAGUUUUGGCGCUCAUCGACAGAUGGCAGCACAGGUUGUAACAAAAAAUCACGCGGAGCUUUACGGUAAUGUAUGCUUAGUUUAUUAACGUCUAAUUUAAAAAUCAGCAUGCAGGGCCGAGCGCUGUUGAAAAAGUAAAAGUAAACUGCAAGGAAUAAAAUGAUUUCACUAUAAUUCGGUUGCUUUAUUUUUUCGAUCUCGUGAAUACCGGUAGUAUUAAUACCUAACUUGGCCGUCCACCAUUCCCCUACCAUGAGAUAUUAAAAUCGGAGAUCCACUAAGCAAAUACUUUCUAUUUCAGUAUGCAGGAUCUAUCAACGUUAAAACAAUAAAAGUAAAUUAAGGCGAAUAAGGUACCAUUUACCAACCAGCUGGAUUCCUUCUGCUCGAUUGUUGAUGAAUUGACUGCUGACUUUUCAUUCGUUAAGUUAAGCUCCGAAGAAACCAACAGGCUGAUUGGCGAAACACCAUCAACAACCGAUGCAGGAGGAAUCCAUCAGAUUUGUAAAUAGUAUUCAUCCAGUAGUGUGUUGAAGUUUAUUUGGAAAACGAAUAAAAUAAUUUUUCGAUAAUUUCAGUGUUUUAUUUCCUCGAUAUCAUCAAAUACCGAACGUCGCUGGGAAUUUUACGUCACUCUACGUUUGAGUUUAUGGACCUCCUUAGACUGGCUUUCGAUUUUAGCGAAACACGCUUGCAAGAACUGUGGCAAACGGUAUUCGAACCGGGUCUCAUACACGAGUCACGUGAACUACGAAUGCAGCUCGUUUCGAUUUUUUUGUAUGGUCGACGAGUGCGGAUGGUCCUCCAAUCGGAAACACGAUGUGAAAAAGCACAUACUCAGAAGCCACGCGGGCGUGAAGAUUGUCAAAGACGACAUGAUAAAGAGGUGUAAAGUAAGCUAAGUAGUUCGGCGUUUACGUUUAGCUGUUCUGGAUCAGGUAUGGGUCCUUCGUCACAGUCGCGUUUUUUUUUUUAGUUUUCCAAUGGUAUCUGACCGAAGACGGACGGUACGGUUGCCCCCAAUGCGGAAAAUCAUACAAGCAGAAAGCUCACGCGUCCCGCCACUACAGGCUCGAGUGCAACAAGGAGAGGCAAUUUGAGUGCGGUUUCUGCGGCAAAAAAUUCGUACAGAAGCACCACCUUCGCAUGCACUCCGUCAGCAAAAACUGUCAGCCGGAUAUUAUUGAAUAUUAGCUUCCAAUAAAUCUCUUUAAUAACGCGCGCCUAUUAUUUCAACCGACCUUGUUAUUGCUGGGGCUGCCGCUGAUGUCGGAUUUCUUUCAGAUGCGUACUGGUAUCGGUUGACGGAGAACGGUCGUUAUGGCUGCAGGAAAUGUAUAUCGUCGUACAAGAAUCUGAACAACCUGCGGCGACAUCUGCGUUUCGAGUGCAACAAAGAGCCCGCGUUCGCUUGCAACAUCUGCUUCAAACGGUUUACUUACAAGUACAUCUUGUCCAGACACAUGGCCAUUCACGGAAUAAUUGUUGAAUAACUCUUAGCUUAUGUAUAAAUGUGAAGCUUCUAGGUAAUAAAAGUAUGCUUUGUCUUUCAGGGCUUAUUUGCUUCAACUGCUACAAGUUGUACCGGUCUAAGGUAGCGUUCAAUCGGCACAAGAAAAACGAUUGCGGCAAGAUGAAGCAGUUCGCUUGCCACGUGCGCCGUUGCAAGUUCAAGUCGUACCAAAAAAGUCAACUCAAAUCCCACCUAUCCAUCAAGCACAAUAUGAAAUCCUAGUUGUGUCUAACUUUUGGUGCCUUUUAGGUGCGUGCAGGUACAAGUGUUCGACCUGCGACCGAUCGUACAAGCGGGUUACGGAUCUGAGGAGACACCUUAGGCAGGAGUGCAACGUACCACCCCAGUUUCAGUGCGAGGUUUGCUCGAAAAAGUUCCGGUACAAGCACGUCUUAAAGGGCCACAUGAGAAGACACGCCAAACCAGAUUUCAUUUAAUAUCGACGAUUACGCCAAGGAUUGUAAAUAUGGAAAGGGGGAAAACAAAUUCGCUUAUUACUCGUGUAAGUCCUGCGGCAAGUGAUACAAGUACAACAGAUCGCUGUGGGCGCAUAGGAAAAUGGAGUGCGGUCAAAAUCCGAAAUGCCUCUGCCACGCGUGCAACUACAAAACGUACAAAUCUCAAAAUAUGAGGCGCCAUCUCGCGAUGAAGCAUGGCUUGUUUUAGAAUUCGGUACCGUGUAUGAUUCCACUAAUAAAUUGUAAUCGUCGAAGAUGAUUUUGCUUUGCCAUGUUUGGCUUUGGUUGGUACCAUUGCUACCUUUUCUCAACCAUGGCGACGCACUUAAAUGUAAGAGUGUCGGAAUGAGUUGAAAAAGAGAACCCGGCAUCGACGUUGCUUUAACGUUGAAUUUCGUUGCAGACGAUUACAAAUUCGUGUGCAACUGCGGUAAGGUCUAUCGACGUCGAAAUUCCCUGUUUGUUCACAAGCGAAACUACUGCGGCAAAGAACCGUCCCAUAUUUGUAACAUGCCUAAUUGUACCUACAAGACCCAUCUAAAGUCCAACCUCAAAAAGCACGUGUUUCUGAUGCACAAACGGGUAUGACUAAAUAGUUCCUACCUUUACCGUUGCUCCACGUGUAGCAAAGGUUAUAAUAGCAGAAAUUCUCUAUUCGCUCAUAAGAAGGUGUACUGUGGCAAGCAACCGUCCCACUUGUGUUCAAUGUGCACUUACAAAAGUCAUCUUAAAUCCAACCUCAAGCGUCACCUAUAUUUAGUACACAAACUCUGUUAAAUGUCCGCAAAUAAAAUCGUUCAAACAGAGUUUUCAUGUUUAAUGGUUCACAACCCUAUCACGGGUUUGUUUUGCGCAUGCUCGCUUCUGCGCUUGAAAAAUGUAUAUUUUUUGUAGAACCUUUCGUGUGCGUGAUGUGCAAUAAGACUUACAAGAACCUCAACACGUUGAAAGCGCACCAGUUCUUCGACUGCGGCAAGUGCAAGUCGCACAAUUGUCCGAUCUGCAGUUUCACUUGCAAACGGAAGUAUAACCUAAAA
Molecule: long non-coding RNA, 4428 nt
Organism: Cylas formicarius (sweet potato weevil)
Lineage: Eukaryota; Metazoa; Arthropoda; Insecta; Coleoptera; Brentidae
Exons: 3
Source: RefSeq, a predicted model, not a curated record